UCCUACGGGGCGCAGCAGUCGGGAAUAUUGGUCAAUGGUCGGGAGACUGAACCAGCCAAGCCGCGUGAGGGAUGAAGGUACAGAGUAUCGUAAACCUCUUUUGUCAGGGAACAAAGGCGGGGACGUGUCCCCGGAUGAGUGUACCUGAAGAAAAAGCAUCGGCUAACUCCGUGCCAGCAGCCGCGGUAAUACGGAGGAUGCGAGCGUUAUCCGGAUUUAUUGGGUUUAAAGGGUGCGCAGGCGGUCUGUUAAGUCAGCGGUCAAAGCCCGGGGCUCAACCCCGGCCCGCCGUUGAAACUGGCAGU
This 305-nucleotide ribosomal RNA is filed under the name uncultured bacterium. Its description in RNAcentral is "bacterial SSU rRNA". It matches the Rfam family "Bacterial small subunit ribosomal RNA", at positions 337 to 640 of the family's 1533-position model. The record is from RNAcentral.